GGUGUGUGUUGGGGCGGGGUUUGAUUUUACCAUUGUUAGCUAAGGGCAAGGCAAAUGGUUGGCCAAUGUUUUCCAGCCCACGAAGAGCCUGGCCAGCAAACCAACUGAAACCCCCCUGAGGUGUCAGAGAUGAGACAAAACACUGGAUCCACGCCCGGCUCAAGACAAGGCAUUUUACUGGGACGGGCGCGGGGCAGUGGGGGCUGACUCCUCUCCCACCUGUCUCCUCUUCCCUCUCUUCCUCCCUCAGGCCCUCUCCAUUGCUCUCCAGUGGGGGCUUCUCUCCCCAGUGCCUCUUUGUUUCUUUUUUCCUGAUUCGGUCUCAGACUCUGCUCUGCUUUGUUUAUCAGCCCUCAGUCCCGCAUCACUGAGACUCUGUCACCAUCUCACUUUUUUGCCUCUUCACAUUCUCUGGAUCCCUAUAUAUGCUUUGUUUCUCGUUGUCACCGUCAGAGAGGUGAUGGGUGCCUCUGACUCGAUCUGUUUUUCUGUCUGUCCAUUUGUCCAUGUUCCCAGAGGCCCUUUAACUCUGUAACAGAGUGCCUUUUCUGAGAACGGAGCCUGGGACAGCCACCCAACGUGUGGAGUAGAGGUGGCUAAGGACAUUUCCAGCCCAGAAGUCGUCAUGGUAACAGCCAGGGCGGGCCAGGCAGAGGAUGUGCCGAACCACGUGGGCUUGACCUUUCUGUGGGUGUCGCAUUUGAGCGGGAGCUGGGGGAAAAACAGCAACGACUGCUUCCCUCUGGCCCAGCCCUCGGCCUUCCAGGCUGGGCUGAAAGAAGAGAGGGAGAGAGGAGAACUGGGACAGCUGGCCACAGGGUGAGAGGAGAGACAGUCAGCCAGAGCCAUCUAGAGGAACGGCGGGAGAGAGGGGGGCGAGCUCAGGCACACACACACAGCUGCGGGCCGUCACCAAGACUCCCGUUGUGAACUGACCUGUGGAGGGCACCAGACAUCCUUCCUGGAGGCUCUGCUCGCGCUUCCCCAGCCGGGGCUCUGGACCCAGGGGGUUCCUCUCUCCAUACCCGUGGCCUCCACCUCAUGCCCAAGCAGGACAAGUGCAGGCAGCACAGAAUGGCGCAGCCCAUGUGAAGGAACGCAGCACCAUUCCAGACUGUACAACUGGUCUAGUUCCGGCUUUGAGAUCCAGGUCGGUAGCCAAAGCCCCGGGGUUAACUGUGGCCUUACCUUUGCUGUUCUUUCCUUCACCCUCAGGCGCCCCUUCCUCCCUGGCUCUGUUACUUGUGACUUCUGUGAUUUGGAGGAAUCAGCCUCUCUGGGUGGGUUUGCUCACCUGUAAACAAGAUAAUGAC
This 1313-nucleotide long non-coding RNA is filed under the name Ailuropoda melanoleuca (giant panda). Its description in RNAcentral is "lncRNA (ENSAMEG00000028491.1)". Lineage: Eukaryota; Metazoa; Chordata; Mammalia; Carnivora; Ursidae. The record is from RNAcentral.